RNAcentral lists this non-coding RNA (29 nucleotides) under Homo sapiens (human). Lineage: Eukaryota; Metazoa; Chordata; Mammalia; Primates; Hominidae. The record is from RNAcentral.
CAAACAUUCAGACCACAGCAGGAGUGUUC